Molecule: long non-coding RNA, 1175 nt
Filed under: Anas platyrhynchos platyrhynchos (common mallard)
Lineage: Eukaryota; Metazoa; Chordata; Aves; Anseriformes; Anatidae
Description: lncRNA (ENSAPLG00000021645.1)
Source: RNAcentral
UUCUGUGACAGAAAAAUAAAAAAAGAAAAAAGAAAAAAAAAAAGAAGAAGAAGAAGAAGGAGAGAAGAAGGAGGAGGAGGAGAAGAAGGAGGAGGAGGAAAAAAAAAGAAAAAGAAAAAGAAGAAGAGAAGAGAAGAGAAGAGAAGAGAAGAGAAGAGAAGAGAAGAGAAGAGAAGAGAAGAGAAGAGAAGAGAAGAGAAGAGAAGAGAAGAGAAGAGAAGAGAAGAGAAGAGAAGAGAAGAGAAGAGAAGAGAAGAGAAGAGAAGAGAAGAGAAGAGAAGAGAAGAGAAGAGAAGAGAAGAGAAGAGAAAAAAGAAGAGAGAAAAGAAGAGAAAGGAAGAGAAAGGAAGAGAAGAGAAUAGAAGAGAAAAGAAAAGAAAAGAAAAGAAAAGAAAAGAAAAGAAAAGAAAAGAAAAGAAAAGAAAAGAAAAGAAAAGAAAAGAAAAGAAAAGAAAAGAAAAGAAAAGAAAAGAAAAGAAAAGAAAAGAAAAGAAAAGAAAAGAAAAGAAAAGAAAAGAAAAGAAAAAAGGAACAUGGCAUCAAGGACAGAGAGGCAGGAGUCUCCUUGUGACUCCCUCCUGGAGUCUCCAUAUCCAUCCCUGUGUGACCUCCAGGCAAUCCCUUUCUGUUCCCCUUGGUAUUUUGAUGGCUUGUCCUAAUUGCAGCGUUAAAUUCCUUGCAGCAAACCAUGUCUGUGAGAGGAAGCUGAAAACGGGCAAGGGGGUGGGGAUGCCCAGCAUCCCACAGGAAAUUCUGGGGGCUUUCUGUUUGACCAAAACCCUAAUUAGAAUCAUGAAGGUUAUAAUAGAGUUUUGUUUUGGAGCUCAUGGGUUUAUGCUCUACGUAUUGCUGGCAGAUGGCUUCGGCUCCUGCUUCCCAGGGAAGUCCUGCCUUGCCCGUUAGAGGUCAAACAUCAUUACCCUCAUUUGGCUGGGAAAAGAAAGUAGGAGAACCAGGGAUUGGAGCAGGACAGAGGGCUCCACAUCCUCUUGAAAAUCUUACAUUAAUUCUGCUGCUGCUGAGCACCGCAUCCCUGUAGUUUCCAUCUAUCCAUCCUGCUGACCAUCUACCCGCUGGUCCAUGCACACACACGGUACUUUAUCUUUUGACCUUAAACCUUUGGUUCACAUUCCCCGUCCUCCUUCCCUCUUUCCUUUCCUUUCCUUUCCUUUCCU